CGAGGAGCUUGCUCCUCUGAUGUUAGCGGCGGACGGGUGAGUAACACGUGGAUAACCUACCUAUAAGACUGGGAUAACUUCGGGAAACCGGAGCUAAUACCGGAUAACAUGUUGAACCGCAUGGUUCAACAGUGAAAGACGGUCUUGCUGUCACUUAUAGAUGGAUCCGCGCCGCAUUAGCUAGUUGGUAAGGUAACGGCUUACCAAGGCAACGAUGCGUAGCCGACCUGAGAGGGUGAUCGGCCACACUGGAACUGAGACACGGUCCAGACUCCUACGGGAGGCAGCAGUAGGGAAUCUUCCGCAAUGGGCGAAAGCCUGACGGAGCAACGCCGCGUGAGUGAAGAAGGUCUUCGGAUCGUAAAACUCUGUUAUUAGGGAAGAACAAAUGUGUAAGUAACUAUGCACGUCUUGACGGUACCUAAUCAGAAAGCCACGGCUAACUACGUGCCAGCAGCCGCGGUAAUACGUAGGUGGCAAGCGUUAUCCGGAAUUAUUGGGCGUAAAGCGCGCGUAGGCGGUUUUUUAAGUCUGAUGUGA
This 540-nucleotide ribosomal RNA is filed under the name uncultured Staphylococcus sp. RNAcentral describes it as "bacterial SSU rRNA". It matches the Rfam family "Bacterial small subunit ribosomal RNA", at positions 72 to 597 of the family's 1533-position model. The record is from RNAcentral. Lineage: Bacteria; Bacillati; Bacillota; Bacilli; Caryophanales; Staphylococcaceae.